GGAAGUAAAGUCGUAACAAGGUUUCCGUAGGUGAACCUGCGGAAGGAUCAUUACUGAGUGAGGGCCCCUCGGGGUCCAACCUCCCACCCGUGUUUAACGAACCUUGUUGCUUCGGCGGGCCCGCCUCACGGCCGCCGGGGGGCAUUUGCCCCCGGGCCCGCGCCCGCCGAAGCCACCUGUGAACGCUGUCUGAAGUAUGCAGUCUGAGACAAUUAUUAAAUUAAUUAAAACUUUCAACAACGGAUCUCUUGGUUCCG
RNAcentral lists this unclassified non-coding RNA (257 nucleotides) under plant metagenome. Its description in RNAcentral is "partial contains small subunit ribosomal RNA, internal transcribed spacer 1, and 5.8S ribosomal RNA". The stretch from base 1 to 53 matches the Rfam family "Eukaryotic small subunit ribosomal RNA", at positions 1778 to 1831 of the family's 1831-position model. The record is from RNAcentral.